AYUUAAAUAAUUUAAUUAAAAUACUGGUCUUGUAAACCAGAAAUGAAGUAUUUCUUUAAGUU
RNAcentral lists this transfer RNA (62 nucleotides) under Cylas formicarius (sweet potato weevil). RNAcentral describes it as "tRNA-Thr". Lineage: Eukaryota; Metazoa; Arthropoda; Insecta; Coleoptera; Brentidae. The record is from RNAcentral.